Molecule: ribosomal RNA, 402 nt
Filed under: uncultured bacterium
Lineage: Bacteria
Description: bacterial SSU rRNA
Rfam family: Bacterial small subunit ribosomal RNA
Source: RNAcentral
UCGGGAAUUUUGGGCAAUGGGCGAAGGCCUGACCCAGCAACGCCGCGUGAGGGAUGAAGUAUUUCGGUAUGUAAACCUCGAAAGAAUGGGAAGAAUAAAUGACGGUACCAUUUAUAAGCACCGGCUAACUACGUGCCAGCAGCCGCGGUAAUACGUAGGGUGCGAGCGUUAAUCGGAAUUACUGGGCGUAAAGCGUGCGCAGGCGGUUUUGUAAGACAGAGGUGAAAUCCCCGGGCUCAACCUGGGAACUGCCUUUGUGACUGCAAGGCUGGAGGGCGGCAGAGGGGGAUGGAAUUCCGCGUGUAGCAGUGAAAUGCGUAGAUAUGCGGAGGAACACCGAUGGCGAAGGCAAUCCCCUGGGCCUGCACUGACGCUCAUGCACGAAAGCGUGGGGAGCAAACA